GUCGAACGAUGAUGCCCAGCUUGCUGGGCGGAUUAGUGGCGAACGGGUGAGUAAUACGUGAGUAACCUGCCCUUGACUCUGGGAUAAGCCUGGGAAACUGGGUCUAAUACUGGAUACUACCUCUUACCGCAUGGUGGGUGGUGGAAAGGGUUUUACUGGUUUUGGAUGGGCUCACGGCCUAUCAGCUUGUUGGUGGGGUAAUGGCUCACCAAGGCGACGACGGGUAGCCGGCCUGAGAGGGUGACCGGCCACACUGGGACUGAGACACGGCCCAGACUCCUACGGGAGGCAGCAGUGGGGAAUAUUGCACAAUGGGCGGAAGCCUGAUGCAGCGACGCCGCGUGAGGGAUGACGGCCUUCGGGUUGUAAACCUCUUUCAGUAGGGAAGAAGCGAGAGUGACGGUACCUGCAGAAGAAGCGCCGGCUAACUACGUGCCAGCAGCCGCGGUAAUACGUAGGGCGCAAGCGUUGUCCGGAAUUAUUGGGCGUAAAGAGCUCGUAGGCGGUUUGUCGCGUCUGCUGUGAAAGCCCGGGGCUCAACCCCGGGUCUGCAGUGGGUACGGGCAGACUAGAGUGCAGUAGGGGAGACUGGAAUUCCUGGUGUAGCGGUGAAAUGCGCAGAUAUCAGGAGGAACACCGAUGGCGAAGGCAGGUCUCUGGGCUGUUACUGACGCUGAGGAGCGAAAGCAUGGGGAGCGAACA
Molecule: ribosomal RNA, 702 nt
Filed under: Kocuria sp. YIM 65744
Lineage: Bacteria; Bacillati; Actinomycetota; Actinomycetes; Micrococcales; Micrococcaceae
Description: bacterial SSU rRNA
Rfam family: Bacterial small subunit ribosomal RNA
Source: RNAcentral